GUUGUAUGGUUAAGUGACUAAGCGUACACGGUGGAUGCCUGGGCAGUCAGAGGCGAUGAAGGACGUACUAACUUGCGAUAAGCGCAGAUAAGGCAGUAAGAGCCGUUUGAGUCUGCGAUUUCCGAAUGGGGAAACCCAACUGCAUAAGCAGUUACUGUUAACUGAAUACAUAGGUUAACAGAGCAAACCGGGGGAACUGAAACAUCUAAGUACCCCGAGGAGAAGAAAUCAACCGAGAUUCCGGUAGUAGCGGCGAGCGAACCUGGAUUAGCCCUUAAGCACUCGGUGAAGUAGGUGAACAAGCUGGAAAGCUUGGCGAUACAGGGUGAUAGCCCCGUAACCGACGCUUCAUCGAGCGUGAAAUCGAGUAGGGCGGGACACGUGAUAUCCUGUCUGAAUAUGGGGGGACCAUCCUCCAAGGCUAAAUACUCCUGACUGACCGAUAGUGAACCAGUACCGUGAGGGAAAGGCGAAAAGAACCCCUGUGAGGGGAGUGAAAUAGAACCUGAAACCGUGUACGUACAAGCAGUAGGAGCACCUUCGUGGUGUGACUGCGUACCUUUUGUAUAAUGGGUCAGCGACUUAUAUUCAGUGGCAAGGUUAACCGUAUAGGGGAGCCGUAGCGAAAGCGAGUCUUAACUGGGCGCUCAGUCUCUGGAUAUAGACCCGAAACCGGGUGAUCUAGCCAUGGGCAGGUUGAAGGUUGAGUAACAUCAACUGGAGGACCGAACCGACUAAUGUUGAAAAAUUAGCGGAUGACUUGUGGCUAGGGGUGAAAGGCCAAUCAAACUCGGAGAUAGCUGGUUCUCCCCGAAAGCUAUUUAGGUAGCGCCUCGGACGAAUACUACUGGGGGUAGAGCACUGUUAAGGCUAGGGGGUCAUCCCGACUUACCAACCCUUUGCAAACUCCGAAUACCAGUAAGUACUAUCCGGGAGACACACGGCGGGUGCUAACGUCCGUCGUGGAGAGGGAAACAACCCAGACCGCCAGCUAAGGUCCCAAAGUAUUGCUAAGUGGGAAACGAUGUGGGAAGGCUCAGACAGCUAGGAUGUUGGCUUAGAAGCAGCCAUCAUUUAAAGAAAGCGUAAUAGCUCACUAGUCGAGUCGGCCUGCGCGGAAGAUGUAACGGGGCUAAGCAAUACACCGAAGCUGCGGCAAUAUCUUUUAGAUAUUGGGUAGGGGAGCGUUCUGUAAGCCGUUGAAGGUGAAUCGUAAGGUUUGCUGGAGGUAUCAGAAGUGCGAAUGCUGACAUGAGUAACGACAAAGGGGGUGAAAAACCUCCUCGCCGGAAGACCAAGGGUUCCUGUCCAACGUUAAUCGGGGCAGGGUGAGUCGACCCCUAAGGUGAGGCCGAAAGGCGUAAUCGAUGGGAAACGGGUUAAUAUUCCCGUACUUCUGACUAUUGCGAUGGGGGGACGGAGAAGGCUAGGUGGGCCAGGCGACGGUUGUCCUGGUUCAAGUGCGUAGGCUUGAGAGUUAGGUAAAUCCGGCUCUCUCUAAGGCUGAGACACGACGUCGAGCUGCUACGGCAGUGAAGUCAUUGAUGCCAUGCUUCCAGGAAAAGCCUCUAAGCUUCAGAUAGUCAGGAAUCGUACCCCAAACCGACACAGGUGGUCGGGUAGAGAAUACCAAGGCGCUUGAGAGAACUCGGGUGAAGGAACUAGGCAAAAUGGUACCGUAACUUCGGGAGAAGGUACGCUCUUGAUGGUGAAGUCCCUCGCGGAUGGAGCUGACGAGAGUCGCAGAUACCAGGUGGCUGCAACUGUUUAUUAAAAACACAGCACUGUGCAAAAUCGCAAGAUGACGUAUACGGUGUGACGCCUGCCCGGUGCCGGAAGGUUAAUUGAUGGGGUUAGCGCAAGCGAAGCUCUUGAUCGAAGCCCCGGUAAACGGCGGCCGUAACUAUAACGGUCCUAAGGUAGCGAAAUUCCUUGUCGGGUAAGUUCCGACCUGCACGAAUGGCGUAAUGAUGGCCACGCUGUCUCCACCCGAGACUCAGUGAAAUUGAAAUCGCUGUGAAGAUGCAGUGUACCCGCGGCUAGACGGAAAGACCCCGUGAACCUUUACUACAGCUUGGCACUGAACAUUGAACCUACAUGUGUAGGAUAGGUGGGAGGCUAUGAAGACGUGACGCCAGUUGCGUUGGAGCCGUCCUUGAAAUACCACCCUUGUAUGUUUGAUGUUCUAACUUAG
This 2194-nucleotide ribosomal RNA is filed under the name Vibrio cholerae. Its description in RNAcentral is "partial 23S ribosomal RNA". It matches the Rfam family "Bacterial large subunit ribosomal RNA", at positions 1 to 2230 of the family's 2925-position model. The record is from RNAcentral. Lineage: Bacteria; Pseudomonadati; Pseudomonadota; Gammaproteobacteria; Vibrionales; Vibrionaceae.